CAUAACAUGGGACCACGCCUUAAAGUAAAGGGCAAGAAAUAAAACGAAGCAACAAAGGCUUAAAACUGGGCACGUUCAGUCCUGAGAAAAGAAGUCUGAGGGGAGUAAUGCCACUGAAGUCAGUACAGCAGCUUGCAGAAUAAGUACUACUCAGGGGCUCUAAACGACAGCAUGAAGAAAAGGAAAGAAAAAACAACAAGUAAGCUUACAGCGACAGUAGGAGAAACAUGAGUAAAAAGCAAAUUGAUGAUAUGCAGAAAAAAGAGUUAACAGAAAUCAUUUCCACUGCCCAGAAUACAUGAAUCUGUUACAUGGUUUGUUGCAGGUUAAAAUACUGACAUUUUAGACAAAAAAUGUUUUGAGCACAAUAAUA
Mauremys reevesii (Reeves's turtle) is the source of this 373-nucleotide long non-coding RNA. RefSeq lists it as uncharacterized. NCBI's taxonomy places the organism in Eukaryota, Metazoa, Chordata, Testudines, Geoemydidae. The transcript is spliced from 3 exons. The record is from RefSeq and is a predicted model, not a curated record.